This 788-nucleotide ribosomal RNA is filed under the name Haynesina sp. S17. Its description in RNAcentral is "SSU rRNA". It matches the Rfam family "Eukaryotic small subunit ribosomal RNA", at positions 1160 to 1816 of the family's 1831-position model. Lineage: Eukaryota; Foraminifera; Rotaliida; Nonionidae. The record is from RNAcentral.
AAGGGCACCACAAGAACGCGUGGAGCAUGUGGCUUAAUUUGACUCAACGCGGGAAAUCUUACCGGGUCCGGACACACUGAGGAUUGACAGAUACACUCAUUUACACCACACAUUAGUGCUGUGUGUAAUUGAGUGAAAAUAUGCUAGUUCUUUCAUGAUUAUGUGAUAGGUGGUGCAUGGCCGUUCUUAGUUCGUGGAGUGAUUUGUCUGCUUAAUUGCGUUUCAAAAAAAAAAAUAGAUAAAAAUUUAAAUUUUUUAAUUAAUUUUUAUUUUUUUAAAUCUAUAUAAAAAUAGAAAGCAACGAACGUGACUGCAACCUUUAGUUAAUUGUGUGACCACUUACGGUACACUACUACUAAAGGGACCGCUGUUUCUUUUCUUUUAAACCAGAGGAAGGUUGCGGCAAUAACAGGUCUGUGAUGCCCUUAGAUGUUCCGGGCUGCACACGUGCUACAAUGAUUAUUGCAGUGUGCAUCUACCAUAUUUACCUACCUCGAUACGAGUUUAGUGGGUUAUCAAUUAGAAGUAAUGUAAAUUUAUAUAAAUUCAUAGUGGGGACAGACCAUUGUUAAAUUGUUGGUCUCGGUCUUAACUAGGAAUGCCUUGUACGGGUCUUUGGUUCAACAGACCACCCGGAAUACGUCCCUGCCCUUUGUACACACCGCCCGUCGCUCUUACCGAUGAACUUCUCUGUGAGUUUGAGAGACACACUUUUACUGCUGAAACUUAAACGAACAGUGUGGUUUAAAGGAAAGAGAAGUCGUAACAAGGCAUCGGUAGGUGAACCU